RNAcentral lists this ribosomal RNA (583 nucleotides) under uncultured eukaryote. RNAcentral describes it as "eukaryotic LSU rRNA". The stretch from base 189 to 342 matches the Rfam family "5.8S ribosomal RNA". The record is from RNAcentral.
AAGUCGUAACAAGGUCUCCGUUGGUGAACCAGCGGAGGGAUCAUUAUCGAGUUAUUCAACUCCCAAACCCUAUGUGAACUUACCACUUGUUGCUUCGGCGCGCGCUUCGACGCCGCCGAGGACACUUAAACUCUUUGUUUUUAUAAGCAUUUCUGAGUGGCCGAAAGGCAAAAAUACAAAUGAAUCAAAACUUUCAACAACGGAUCUCUUGGUUCUGGCAUCGAUGAAGAACGCAGCGAAAUGCGAUAAGUAAUGUGAAUUGCAGAAUUCAGUGAAUCAUCGAAUCUUUGAACGCACAUUGCGCCCGCCAGCAUUCUGGCGGGCAUGCCUGUUCGAGCGUCAUUUCAACCCUCGAGCCCGACUCUUUUGAGGACGGCUCGGCGUUGGGGGACGGCAGACUCCCCCCGGCAUCUCGCCGGGGACGCCGCCCCCGAAAUCUAGUGGCGGCCCUCCGAGGCGACCUCUGCGUAGUAACUUGUUCUCGCACCGGAAAGCUCAGAGCGGCCACGCCGUAAAACCCCAACUUUUUUCAGGUUGACCUCGAAUCAGGUAGGACUACCCGCUGAACUUAAGCAUAUCAAUA